GGGGAGGUGCCAGAGUGGACGAAUGGGGCCGCCUGCUAAGCGGUUAUCUGUGUUUAAGCAUGGAUCGCAGGUUCGAAUCCUGUCCUCCCCG
Molecule: transfer RNA, 91 nt
Filed under: Anaerolineae bacterium
Lineage: Bacteria; Bacillati; Chloroflexota; Anaerolineae
Description: tRNA-Ser
Rfam family: tRNA
About the family: Transfer RNA (tRNA) molecules are approximately 80 nucleotides in length. Their secondary structure includes four short double-helical elements and three loops (D, anti-codon, and T loops).
Source: RNAcentral